This 497-nucleotide ribosomal RNA is filed under the name uncultured bacterium. RNAcentral's name for it is "partial 16S ribosomal RNA". It matches the Rfam family "Bacterial small subunit ribosomal RNA", at positions 28 to 507 of the family's 1533-position model. The record is from RNAcentral.
GAUGAACGCUGGCGGCGUGCCUAAUACAUGCAAGUCGAGCGAACGGACGAGAAGCUUGCUUCUCUGAUGUUAGCGGCGGACGGGUGAGUAACACGUGGAUAACCUACCUAUAAGACUGGGAUAACUUCGGGAAACCGGAGCUAAUACCGGAUAAUAUUUUGAACCGCAUGGUUCAAAAGUGAAAGACGGUCUUGCUGUCACUUAUAGAUGGAUCCCCGCUGCAUUAGCUAGUUGGUAAGGUAACGGCUUACCAAGGCAACGAUGCAUAGCCGACCUGAGAGGGUGAUCGGCCACACUGGAACUGAGACACGGUCCAGACUCCUACGGGAGGCAGCAGUAGGGAAUCUUCCGCAAAGGGCGAAAGCCUGACGGAGCAACGCCGCGUGAGUGAUGAAGGUCUUCGGAUCGUAAAACUCUGUUAUUAGGGAAGAACAUAUGUGUAAGUAACUGUGCACAUCUUGACGGUACCUAAUCAGAAAGCCACGGCUAACUACGUG